Molecule: ribosomal RNA, 253 nt
Filed under: uncultured bacterium
Lineage: Bacteria
Description: partial 16S ribosomal RNA
Rfam family: Bacterial small subunit ribosomal RNA
Source: RNAcentral
UACAGGGGGUGCAAACGUUGCUCGGAAUUAUUGGGCGUAAAGCGCGCGUAGGCGGCUACCUAAGUCGGAUGUGAAAGCCCUUGGCUCAACUGAGGAAGUGCACCCGAAACUGAGUGGCUAGAGUACGAAAGAGGGUCGCGGAAUUCCGAGUGUAGAGGUGAAAUUCGUAGAUAUUCGGAAGAACACCAGUGGCGAAGGCGGCUCACUGGACUGGUAUUGACGCUGAGGUGCGAAAGCGUGGGGAGCAAACAGG